UAAUACGUAGGGUGCAAGCGUUAAUCGGAAUUACUGGGCGUAAAGCGUGCGCAGGCGGUUUGUUAAGUCAGAUGUGAAAUCCCCGGGCUCAACCUGGGAACUGCAUUUGAAACUGGCAAGCUAGAGUCUCGUAGAGGGGGGUAGAAUUCCAGGUGUAGCGGUGAAAUGCGUAGAGAUCUGGAGGAAUACCGGUGGCGAAGGCGGCCCCCUGGACGAAGACUGACGCUCAGGUGCGAAAGCGUGGGGAGCAAACAGGAUUAGAUACCCUGGUAGUCCACGCUGUAAACGAUGUCGAUUUGGAGGUUGUGCCCUUGAGGCGUGGCUUCCGGAGCUAACGCGUUAAAUCGACCGCCUGGGGAGUACGGCCGCAAGGUUA
This 376-nucleotide ribosomal RNA is filed under the name uncultured Serratia sp. RNAcentral describes it as "bacterial SSU rRNA". It matches the Rfam family "Bacterial small subunit ribosomal RNA", at positions 521 to 896 of the family's 1533-position model. Lineage: Bacteria; Pseudomonadati; Pseudomonadota; Gammaproteobacteria; Enterobacterales; Yersiniaceae. The record is from RNAcentral.